RNAcentral lists this ribosomal RNA (561 nucleotides) under uncultured bacterium. RNAcentral's name for it is "bacterial SSU rRNA". It matches the Rfam family "Bacterial small subunit ribosomal RNA", at positions 338 to 916 of the family's 1533-position model. The record is from RNAcentral.
CCUACGGGAGGCAGCAGUGGGGAAUUUUCCGCAAUGGGCGAAAGCCUGACGGAGCAAUACCGCGUGAGGGAGGAAGGCUCUUGGGUUGUAAACCUCUUUUUUCAGGGAAGAUAAUGACGGUACCUGAGGAAUAAGCAUCGGCUAACUCCGUGCCAGCAGCCGCGGUAAUACGGAGGAUGCAAGCGUUAUCCGGAAUGAUUGGGCGUAAAGCGUCCGCAGGUGGUUUUAAAAGUCUGUUGUUAAAGCGUGAGGCUUAACCUCAUAAGGGCAAUGGAAACUGUAAGACUAGAGUACGUUCGGGGCAAGGGGAAUUCCCAGUGUAGCGGUGAAAUGCGUAGAGAUUGGGAAGAACACCGGUGGCGAAAGCGCCUUGCUAGGCCGUAACUGACACUGAGGGACGAAAGCUAGGGGAGCGAAUGGGAUUAGAUACCCCAGUAGUCCUAGCCGUAAACGAUGGAUACUAGGCGUUGUCUGUAUCGACCCGGACAGUGCCGUAGCUAACGCGUUAAGUAUCCCGCCUGGGAGUACGCACGCAAGUGUGAAACUCAAAUGAAUUGACGG